RNAcentral lists this ribosomal RNA (567 nucleotides) under uncultured delta proteobacterium. RNAcentral describes it as "bacterial SSU rRNA". It matches the Rfam family "Bacterial small subunit ribosomal RNA", at positions 358 to 915 of the family's 1533-position model. The record is from RNAcentral. Lineage: Bacteria; Deltaproteobacteria.
GGAAUAUUUGCAGCAAUGGGACGAAAGUCUGACGCAGCGACGCCGCGUGGAGGAUGAAGGUUUUCGGAUCGUAAACUCCUGUCAAGAGGGAAGAAACCUAUCAAAACUAAUACUUUUGGUAAUUGACGGUACCUCUAGAGGAAGCACCGGCUAAUUCAGUGCCAGCAGCCGCGGUAAUACUGAAGGUGCAAGCGUUAAUCGGAAUCACUGGGCGUAAAGCGCUCGUAGGUGGCUUUGUAAGUCAGGUGUGAAAGCCCACGGCUCAACCGUGGAAUUGCACUUGAUACUGCAUCGCUAGAGUAUAGGAGAGGGAAGUGGAAUUUCUGGUGUAGGAGUGAAAUCCGUAGAGAUCAUAAGGAACACCCGUGGCGAAGGCGACUUCCUGGACUAUUACUGACACUGAGGAGCGAAAGCGUGGGGAGCAAACAGGAUUAGAUACCCUGGUAGUCCACGCCGUAAACGAUGGGUACUAGGUGUCGGGGGCUUGACCUUCGGUGCCGUAGUUAACGCGUUAAGUACCCCGCCUGGGGAGUACGGUCGCAAGGCUGAAACUCAAAGGAUUUGGAC